GUGGAUGCCCUGGCAGUCAGAGGCGAUGAAGGGCGUGCUAAUCUGCGAUAAGCGCCGGUAAGGUGAUAUGAACCGUUAUAACCGGCGAUACCCGAAUGGGGAAACCCAGUGUGAUUCGUCACACUAUCAUUAACUGAAUCCAUAGGUUAAUGAGGCGAACCGGGGGAACUGAAACAUCUAAGUACCCCGAGGAAAAGAAAUCAACCGAGAUUCCCCCAGUAGCGGCGAGCGAACGGGGAGGAGCCCAGAGCCUGAAUCAGCAUGUGUGUUAGUGGAAGCGUCUGGAAAGGCGCGCGAUACAGGGUGACAGCCCCGUACACAAAAGCGCAUGUGCUGUGAGCUCGAUGAGUAGGGCGGGACACGUGGUAUCCUGUCUGAAUAUGGGGGGACCAUCCUCCAAGGCUAAAUACUCCUGACUGACCGAUAGUGAACCAGUACCGUGAGGGAAAGGCGAAAAGAACCCCGGCGAGGGGAGUGAAAAAGAACCUGAAACCGUGUACGUACAAGCAGUGGGAGCACAGGUUUACCUGUGUGACUGCGUACCUUUUGUAUAAUGGGUCAGCGACUUAU
This 570-nucleotide ribosomal RNA is filed under the name Salmonella enterica subsp. enterica serovar Berta. RNAcentral's name for it is "partial 23S ribosomal RNA". It matches the Rfam family "Bacterial large subunit ribosomal RNA", at positions 24 to 631 of the family's 2925-position model. Lineage: Bacteria; Pseudomonadati; Pseudomonadota; Gammaproteobacteria; Enterobacterales; Enterobacteriaceae. The record is from RNAcentral. RNAcentral also lists the same sequence under 1 other name.